This 460-nucleotide ribosomal RNA is filed under the name uncultured bacterium. RNAcentral describes it as "partial 16S ribosomal RNA". It matches the Rfam family "Bacterial small subunit ribosomal RNA", at positions 338 to 795 of the family's 1533-position model. The record is from RNAcentral.
CCUACGGGGGGCAGCAGUGAGGAAUAUUGGUCAAUGGACGAGAGUCUGAACCAGCCAAGUCGCGUGAAGGAUGACUGCCCUAUGGGUUGUAAACUUCUUUUAUAAAGGAAUAAAACGAGGCACGUGUGCCUUUUUGCAUGUACUUUAUGAAUAAGGAUCGGCUAACUCCGUGCCAGCAGCCGCGGUAAUACGGAGGAUCCGAGCGUUAUCCGGAUUUAUUGGGUUUAAAGGGAGCGUAGAUGGGUUGUUAAGUCAGUUGUGAAAGUUUGCGGCUCAACCGUAAAAUUGCAGUUGAUACUGGAAGUCUUGAGUGCAGUUGAGGUAGGCGGAAUUCGUGGUGUAGCGGUGAAAUGCUUAGAUAUCACGAAGAACCCCGAUGGCGAAGGCAGCUUACUAAACUGUAACUGACAUUGAGGCUCGAAAGUGUGGGUAUCAAACAGGAUUAGAUACCCUUGUAGUC